This is a long non-coding RNA of Thalassophryne amazonica, 175 nucleotides long. RefSeq lists it as uncharacterized. The record is from RefSeq and is a predicted model, not a curated record. The transcript is spliced from 3 exons. NCBI's taxonomy places the organism in Eukaryota, Metazoa, Chordata, Actinopteri, Batrachoidiformes, Batrachoididae.
AACCACAACAAUAUAGCAUUACAUUCACAAAAGCCACUUAAAACUUUACUGUGCAAAAAGAAGCCUUAUGUUAAUCUUGUCCAGAAGCAGCAUCAACAUCUCUGGGCUAUGAGACAUUUGGGUUGGACCAUCAAACAGUGGAAACGUGUACUGCGGUCAGAAGAUUCACUAUUCU